UUUAACUGGAGAUGUCACAUCUCUCUUUCUAAUUGUUUGCAACAGAAUAACAUUGCUGAAAAAGAGAAAGAGAAAGAGAAUCUACAAAUGCAAACACGAAAACUUCAAGGCUAGUGCUAUGACUACAACUAUUUGCAAGAGACAGAAACCCUCUUUGUACAGCAUUAAGCAUCACUUUCUCUGAAGGAAUAGGAGAAGAAGAGGAGGCAACGAGGAUAUGAAGUUGUCAAAAUUAGGGUCGAGGAACAACAUAAAGCGUCCCUGCUCUCACGUACCUUUGACUGAGGAACAGUUAACCAAAGUUCUAAAGAAAUACGAUUCCAAUGGCGACUGUUACCUCAACAAAGAAGAUCUUAAGGAAUUGUUCCAGCAGCUGGGAGCCACCAUCCCGAGAUGGCGAGCCCCCCGAGCUCUCCACCAUGCUGAGGUAAAAAUCGGAUUGUGCCUUAUAUAUACAGUGUAAUUUUUCGACGUAGGAGGUUCGAAUGAACCCCUUUCGCCUCAUAAAUCCGCCCACGUAGGAAGUGACUAGUUAAUUACUUAUUAUACUAGUGAAUUAACGUAUGCUUUUUUUCCUUCAAGAUUGUUACAUAUGAUAAAAUCUAUGUGGGUGAAUUUUGUACUUCUCUUUUUCGUGUGUCCUGCUGUAACAAAUAUUGCCUACUUGUACAGUUGUGCUAGUGGAUAGAUGCAAUUGAG
This is a non-coding RNA of Nicotiana tabacum (common tobacco), 699 nucleotides long. The record is from RefSeq and is a predicted model, not a curated record. NCBI's taxonomy places the organism in Eukaryota, Viridiplantae, Streptophyta, Magnoliopsida, Solanales, Solanaceae.